This 205-nucleotide ribosomal RNA is filed under the name uncultured bacterium. RNAcentral describes it as "partial 16S ribosomal RNA". It matches the Rfam family "Bacterial small subunit ribosomal RNA", at positions 568 to 774 of the family's 1533-position model. The record is from RNAcentral.
AGCGUAGGUGGCUUGAUAAGUCAGAUGUGAAAUCCCCGGGCUUAACCUGGGAACUGCAUCUGAUACUGUUAGGCUAGAAUAGGUGAGAGGAAGGUAGAAUUCCAGGUGUAGCGGUGAAAUGCGUAGAGAUCUGGAGGAAUACCGAUGGCGAAGGCAGCCUUCUGGCAUCAUAUUGACACUGAGGUUCGAAGCGUGGUAGCAAACA